RNAcentral lists this ribosomal RNA (69 nucleotides) under Timarcha espanoli. RNAcentral describes it as "partial 5.8S ribosomal RNA". Lineage: Eukaryota; Metazoa; Arthropoda; Insecta; Coleoptera; Chrysomelidae. The record is from RNAcentral. RNAcentral also lists the same sequence under 1 other name.
UCGACAUUUCGAACGCACAUUGCGGUCCUCGGAUACUGUUCCCGGACCACUCCUGGCUGAGGGUCGUAU